AUACAGAGGGUGCAAGCGUUAAUCGGAAUUACUGGGCGUAAAGCGCGCGUAGGCGGUUUAAUCAGUCGGAUGUGAAAGCCCCGGGCUCAACCUGGGAACUGCAUUCGAUACUGUUAAGCUAGAGUAUGCUAGAGGGAAGUGGAAUUCCAGGUGUAGCGGUGAAAUGCGUAGAUAUCUGGAGGAACAUCAGUGGCGAAGGCGACUUCCUGGACCAAUACUGACGCUGAGGUGCGAAAGCGUGGGGAGCAAACAGUAUUAGAAACCCUAGUAGUCC
Molecule: ribosomal RNA, 274 nt
Filed under: uncultured bacterium
Lineage: Bacteria
Description: partial 16S ribosomal RNA
Rfam family: Bacterial small subunit ribosomal RNA
Source: RNAcentral